This 253-nucleotide ribosomal RNA is filed under the name uncultured bacterium. Its description in RNAcentral is "partial 16S ribosomal RNA". It matches the Rfam family "Bacterial small subunit ribosomal RNA", at positions 524 to 776 of the family's 1533-position model. The record is from RNAcentral.
UACAGAGGGUGCGAGCGUUAAUCGGAAUUACUGGGCGUAAAGCGUGCGUAGACGGUUAUUUAAGUCGGGUGUGAAAGCCCCGGGCUCAACCUGGGAAUUGCAUUCGAGACUGAAUAGCUAGGGUACGGUAGAGGGAAGUGGAAUUUCCGGUGUAGCGGUGAAAUGCGUAGAUAUCGGAAGGAACAUCAGUGGCGAAAGCGGCUUCCUGGACCAGAACUGACGAUCAGGCACGAAAGCGUGGGGAGCAAACAGG